Long non-coding RNA from Pseudopipra pipra, 857 nucleotides. RefSeq lists it as uncharacterized. The record is from RefSeq and is a predicted model, not a curated record. Lineage: Eukaryota; Metazoa; Chordata; Aves; Passeriformes; Pipridae. The transcript has 3 exons.
AUUAUGAUAACAUGCUUUCCAGCUCAGAGGAAAGCAAUGGGAUGACUACCUGAAAAUGGGAAAACAAACACUGCCUUCACAAGCUUUACUGGAGAGCCUUCCUUUGAAAGCUUCCUUUAAGAAAAUAAAAGGCCCAGAAGCCCCACGCUGGAACAAAUUUAGCACGAUGACGCACAACGACAGAGAGCGCUCACUCUGGAAUCGGGGCUCAUGAACUUUUUUGGGGUUUGGGGGUUUUCCUGUGCUCCCCCUCCCCGUCCCACAGCCACAAGUACAAAGGCAAUUUGCGCCCAUUCAUUCUGGAUUCCCUGCGCCGCUGGAGCGCGGGGGGGGCGCGCUGGGAAGGGCUGGAGCGGCGGAGCUGCCCCGGCACGCGCGGGCUGCGGGGGCCACACCGCGGGCGGGGCCGCCCCGCACCCCGCGACCCAAGGCCCAUCACGGUCCCACCGCGGCGGCCCCCGGGGCGGCCCGGGCGAGGGAGGAGCCGGCGGGCCCGGACCGGUGCCGGGUGGGCGCUACUUAUUUCAGAAUAAAUCAAUUUGGCAUCUGGAAAUCUGAAGUGUUUUGUCACUAGAGCUUAUGCCUGUUGCUCAAAUCAAAACAGAGGGACCAUGUUUUUUCAAAAGGAUAAUGCCAAGAUCAUGGUCAUUUCAGAACAACAGUUUACAGUCUGGAGCAGUGACUGUUCCAUGGAUCUCAGAAUAACAGAUUAUCCCUGUGUCCAUCCAGACACAAACUGGAAGAUGUUUGCUAAUACAGCUCACUAAUUACAAUUUCCUCCCCCUCAAAAUUAGUAAUUUCCAUUAUUGUUUCAAUUUAUAAUUUUCCAAAUAAAAACUUUCCCUCUAUUUAGUAGA